RNAcentral lists this ribosomal RNA (740 nucleotides) under uncultured bacterium. RNAcentral's name for it is "bacterial SSU rRNA". It matches the Rfam family "Bacterial small subunit ribosomal RNA", at positions 8 to 796 of the family's 1533-position model. The record is from RNAcentral.
AGAGUUUGAUCAUGGCUCAGAGCGAACGCUGGCGGCAGGCCUAACACAUGCAAGUCGAACGCCCCUUCGGGGGAGUGGCGGACGGGUGAGUAACGCGUGGGAAUGUGCCCUUUGGUACGGAACAACUGAGGGAAACUUCAGCUAAUACCGUAUGUGCCCUUCGGGGGAAAGAUUUAUCGCCAUUGGAGCAGCCCGCGUUGGAUUAGGUAGUUGGUGGGGUAAAGGCCUACCAAGCCUACGAUCCAUAGCUGGUCUGAGAGGAUGAUCAGCCACACUGGGACUGAGACACGGCCCAGACUCCUACGGGAGGCAGCAGUGGGGAAUCUUGCGCAAUGGGCGAAAGCCUGACGCAGCCAUGCCGCGUGUAUGAUGAAGGUCUUAGGAUUGUAAAAUACUUUCACCGGGGAAGAUAAUGACGGUACCCGGAGAAGAAGCCCCGGCUAACUUCGUGCCAGCAGCCGCGGUAAUACGAAGGGGGCUAGCGUUGCUCGGAAUUACUGGGCGUAAAGGGCGCGUAGGCGGAUAGUUUAGUCAGAGGUGAAAGCCCAGGGCUCAACCUUGGAAUUGCCUUUGAUACUGGCUAUCUUGAGUUCGGGAGAGGUGAGUGGAAUGCCGAGUGUAGAGGUGAAAUUCGUAGAUAUUCGGCGGAACACCAGUGGCGAAGGCGACUCACUGGCCCGAUACUGACGCUGAGGCGCGAAAGCGUGGGGAGCAAACAGGAUUAGAUACCCUAGUAGUCC